RNAcentral lists this ribosomal RNA (405 nucleotides) under uncultured bacterium. RNAcentral describes it as "bacterial SSU rRNA". It matches the Rfam family "Bacterial small subunit ribosomal RNA", at positions 355 to 776 of the family's 1533-position model. The record is from RNAcentral.
UGGGGAAUAUUGGACAAUGGGGGAAACCCUGAUCCAGCGACGCCGCGUGAGUGAAGAAGUAUUUCGGUAUGUAAAGCUCUAUCAGCAGGGAAGAAAAAAGACGGUACCUGACUAAGAAGCCCCGGCUAACUACGUGCCAGCAGCCGCGGUAAUACGUAGGGGGCAAGCGUUAUCCGGAUUUACUGGGUGUAAAGGGAGCGUAGACGGCAAAGCAAGUCUGAAGUGAAAGGUCGGGGCUUAACCCCGGAACUGCUUUGGAAACUGUUAUGCUAGAGUGCUGGAGAGGUAAGUGGAAUUCCUAGUGUAGCGGUGAAAUGCGUAGAUAUUAGGAGGAACACCAGUGGCGAAGGCGGCUUACUGGACAGUAACUGACGUUGAGGCUCGAAAGCGUGGGGAGCAAACAGG